This is an RNA transcript of Nymphalis io (European peacock), 3895 nucleotides long. RefSeq lists it as uncharacterized. Lineage: Eukaryota; Metazoa; Arthropoda; Insecta; Lepidoptera; Nymphalidae. The transcript has 5 exons. The record is from RefSeq and is a predicted model, not a curated record.
AUUGCAGCCAUUAAAUUACUUUAAUAUAUUUUCAUGGUUUCUCGUAUCUCUCGUUUCUCUCUCUAAUUAUUUCUGUUAUACUGUUUUUCGUUUCGUUUCAAUUAUUUUUUGUGAGUGCAAAUAACAGUCGAACGGUUUGUGUCGAAUUUAUGUCAAGUCGGCUUGUGGGUACUAUGAAAAAACCACAAAGGUUUGACGUUAAUGCAAAUAGGUUAAACCUCGGUCUAUUAAAAAAUAUGAAAUGCAUUGAAAAUGGAAAUAAAUAAUGAAUAUACCUAUAGCUUGGCCAAGAAAUAUUUCUAAUAUGGGAUUCACUGAUUAAUAAGACGAGGAAUAAUAUUGUGGUUCUAUCACCACACAUUUUUUUAUUGCUGGGUGUCAUCUGCAAACUGCUAACACAUGCAAUAUUCAAGUUACUCAUGUCGUUAACAUAAGAUAUAAAAUGCAAUGGGCCAAAGACUGAGCUCUGCGCUUGCUACCUUCACUGGCAAUAACGAGGUUCUAAUUGAAGGGUUCAGGGGAAAAACAACUUUUAUCACUUAAUGAGCACACUGAGAUAUUACUAAUUAACAGUUUAGAUCAUGGAUAAAAUGAUAAAUUAAAGCCAUAUAAAUAAAAAUGCUUUUUUAUUAUAAACAUAUGUUUAUUGUUAAUGUAAUGUUACACUUUUUUAGUUUUGAACCUGGCUUAUUUAGAGGUUACAAUAAAAAAAAACUUCAAAGUCAGAUUUAUCAGUAAAAAAACAACCUAUGUCCACCAAAUUCAGGGGAAAAACAAACAAUGUCCCUGAGGUACAUUGUAACUUUAAUGUAAUAUGAGCUGAAUCCUAACUAUAUUUUAGUGUUAAAUAAUAUUGUUUUGCUGCAGGGUUGCAAUAUUUUGAUAACGACUGAAUGUCUUGGAAUUUUGCUUUACUUAUUGGUAAAAUGUCCUUGUACGCUUGUUCAGGCAGGAUAAAUUCUGCUGAAUCAAUAGGCUCUGCACAAGGUGUUGAGUUUCCUCUUUUUCUUUUUGAAUCCAGCAUAACAGAGGAUGUCCAGUGACCAUUAUAAGAAUUUCUGUAGAAAAUGAGGCGAGGAUGUGAAAUCUCAACUCUUAUUUCACGAAUAGGUCUGAAUAAAAAUGGGCAUGUCUUUUUAUAAAUUGGUGUUAAAAACUUGGUCCAAAAUCUGACUAAAGGCUGAUCAACAUCAAUAACCUGAAAAGGUGAAGGUUUUGCUCUUGACUCAGACACUACUUUUCUCCAGUCAUCUGGUGUUUCACAGGGUGCCUUCUGAUUUAUUAGUGCCAUAUUUUUGUCGCACUCCAAGUAUGAAUGUCCUCUAAUUGGAAAUAUCAUUUUAAUCAUAUCCAAACGCCUGGCUCUAUGAACCACAUAAUGGAUAAAUCUGAACAUGCAAUAAUUUUUAUUCUGCCCACCACAUGAAUCACAGAAUAUUACCAGCUCUCUGACAUUUGUAUUGAGUUUUGUAAAGAUAUAAUGAUGGAGAAAAGAACAAACUUCAUCUGCUCCUUUAUUGGCAAUGGUCUCAUCAUAACAAAAGAAAUAAGAAUCUGAUGAAGAGAGUACAUGAAUGUUAAAUAAAUUGAAGAGAUAGUUGGCACACCAAGCAAGUUAUGGCUUUUGUAUUCCACAAGCAUCUAAAUUGUUUUGUAGCUGGACAUGAUUCAGGGUGUCAAAGGCUUGUGAGAAGUCAAUGAAAAGUGCUAAUACAUGUUUUUUUUAUUAAGACGAACGGCAAGUUGUGAACGGCAGCCGUCGCCACCUAUCGACGACAGUCGUCAACGCGUCGGCGGCAGCAGUCAAUACGUCGACGGCUGCCGCCGGCAGGCGACCACGGCUGCCGUCGACAGGCGACAACGCUUGCCGCGAGUGCCGCAUACUAGCAGUCUUGGUCGGCUUGUACAGGAGCCAGUUGCAAAAUGGCGUCCGAUGAAGAAACAUUGUUAUUGCUUUUACUCCGCCAUCGCCGACGACAACGAAAAAGAAAGACACGUUCAGUGUGGGUUGAAGAAAUAUUAAUGUAUAGAGAACAAGAGGGAGAUUUUUAUACACUGUAUCCACGUUUGCGAAGGUCCGAAAAAAAAUUUUUCAAUUACUUUCGAAUGUCAAUCGCUUCUUUUGAUGAGUUGACAUCUAUUUUGAAACUUUCAAUAUCUCGCCAAGACACUGUGAUGCGAAAAAGUAUACCAGCUGAGCAAAGACUCGCUAUGACAUUAAGGUAAGAGGGUUUUUUUUUUUUUUUUUUUAUAUUACCCGGGAGGGCAAAUGACUCUACUCCACCUGAUGUUAAGUGGUAGUAGAGUCCAAACGCGAGGACGGCCAGUACAGUCGGGAAGAAGGUUCUGCACUAGCCGCCCUCGCCUUGCCGGCCCGCAAGAUGCCUCUUCACGCCUCGUUUGAAGGAAGGGUUUAAUUUUAUCAAAAAAUGGUAUAUACUGGACAUAACUUUAAUGAGAUCAAAUCAAUAUAACUUUGGCAACAUUUUUAAUUUAAGUUAAAAUAGGAACUUUACUUAACAUUAAUUAACAUUUAUAUUAUACUAUAAAACUUUUAACAACAAAUUCUCCAUAAUACUGAUUAUAAAAUCACAAGUGGCGCCGCUACAAGAUUUUUUAAUUUUCCUGAUCAAUCUUUGCAAUUUUUUUUCUCAUAAUCAACUUGUAGUAAAACCAUACAAAACAUAAAAACAAACAAUAUAACAAUAAUUUAGACAAAAAGUAAAUUAUUCUGAGAAGAGUUCAGUUAUUAUGGUAUUUGAAACAGAAUCCUCAGAGGAUAAGCUUUCAAUAUUUGUGAGUUGACUUUUCGGUCUUUCAGGAUGUGUUGUAGUGGAGUACGCCGAAUAGUUAUGAGAAGAAUGACUCGUUGAAGGAAUUGUGUUUUGCAUGGAAUUCUGAGACGACAAGCUUUCAUUAGUUGUGACUUGACUUUCCGGUCUUGCAGAAUGUGUUGUGGUGGAAUAACCCGCGUAGUUAUAUGAAGAAUGACUCGUUGAAGGCAUUGAAAGAGACUUGUAAUGUUUUAUUACUUGCAUAACUUCUAAUUUGGCGUCUAAUUUCCAAUCUGCUGUUAUGUUUUUGAAAUCACUUACUAGGGACAACAGAAAUAACUUAUCCUCAUCUGGAGGAGGAGAAAAGUCUCUCUCAGCUUUAUCCAGUUUAUAAUUUAAUUUCUUAGUUAAUUUUUCAAUCAAAGCAUCAUCACCAUCACUUUGGCGUAUCCGUUGUCGUUUUGGCAUUGGCGUUGGCGUUGUUGUUGGUGGUAGAAUUGUCUGAGAGGGAGCAUCAAAGUUUGAAGUACUUUGACCCUUAUCUUCGGUAACAUCUUUCAAAAAUAGUAGUUGAUCAUAGAAUGUAUACUGUUUUGCUUUAGACACUGCGGAACCACUUUUUCUCUUCAAAGUUCUGCAAUAUCUUGUGAAGCCGUCUCUUAAAGUUUUCCAUUUAGACUGUACCUGUAUACCUAAAAAAAAUAAAAAAUAAUUAUCGCUUAACACGUGCAAGGAGAUAUGUAGAAUGUUCAUUUGGCAUUUUGACCAAUAAGUGGCGAAUCUUUCACACCCCCAUGAAGUUAUCUUUAGAAUUCUGUAAAGAUGUUGUUAAAGCAUGUUGCAUAUUGCAUAAUUUUGUACGUGACAGAGAUGGUUUUACAUUUGAAGAUACACUAACUAUAAACGGUUUGGAAAAUAUAGCCACAAUCCCUAAUGAAGGGGACUCGUUAUCGGGUCCGAUAAUAAGAGAAAAUUUUUCAGAUUAUUUUAGCAGUAGUGAAGGCAGUGUUUCGUGGCAGUUGGAUUGCAUAUAAAACAAAUAGAUAGUAUCUCCAUUAUUAUAUGUAAGAAAUAAUCUGCUUAAAAUUCAAUAAAAUAUUUAAUAAAAAGUCACUUACCGA